Molecule: ribosomal RNA, 448 nt
Filed under: uncultured bacterium
Lineage: Bacteria
Description: bacterial SSU rRNA
Rfam family: Bacterial small subunit ribosomal RNA
Source: RNAcentral
CGUCCAGACUCCUACGGGAGGCAGCAGUGGGGAAUAUUGCACAAUGGGGGAAACCCUGAUGCAGCGACGCCGCGUGAGUGAAGAAGUAUCUCGGUACGUAAAGCUCUAUCAGCAGGGAAGAAAAUGACGGUACCUGACCAAGAAGCCCCGGCUAACUACGUGCCAGCAGCCGCGGUAAUACGUAGGGGGCAAGCGUUAUCCGGAUUUACUGGGUGUAAAGGGAGCGUAGACGGCAGCGCAAGUCUGGAGUGAAAGCCCGGGGCCCAACCCCGGAACUGCUCUGGAAACUGUGCGGCUAGAGUACUGGAGGGGCAGGCGGAAUUCCUAGUGUAGCGGUGAAAUGCGUAGAUAUUAGGAGGAACACCAGUGGCGAAGGCGGCUUACUGGACAGUAACUGACGUUGAGGCUCGAAAGCGUGGGGAGCAAACAGGAUUAGAUACCCGGGUAA